UAAGACAUGCAAGUCGAACGAAAUGGUCCAAUGAAGAUUGAGUGCUUGCACAAGAUUGAAUUUGGAUCGCCAUUUAGUGGCAGACGGGUGAGUAACACGUGGGUAAUCUACCUCAAAGAACUGGGAUAACAGUUAGAAAUGACUGCUAAUACCGGAUAAUUUAUAUUUAGAUAACUAUUUAUACUAAAAGGAGCUUUUGCUUCACUUUGAGAUGAGCUUGCGGCGUAUUAGCUAGUUGGUAGGGUAAUGGCCUACCAAGGCGACGAUGCGUAGCCGAACUGAGAGGUUGAACGGCCACACUGGGACUGAGACACGGCCCAGACUCCUACGGGAGACAGCAGUUAGGAAUAUUCGUCAAUGGAGGAAACUCUGAACGAGCAAUGCCGCGUGAGUGAUGACGGUCUUUAUGAUUGUAAAACUCUGUUGUAGAGGAAGAAACCUUACUAUAGGUAAUGAUAGUAAGCUGACAGUACUUUACUAGAAAGCCCCGGCUAACUACGUG
This 502-nucleotide ribosomal RNA is filed under the name uncultured bacterium. RNAcentral's name for it is "bacterial SSU rRNA". It matches the Rfam family "Bacterial small subunit ribosomal RNA", at positions 49 to 507 of the family's 1533-position model. The record is from RNAcentral.